GCAGUCGCCGCGGUAAUACCGAGGGUGCAAGCGUUAAUCGGAAUUACUGGGCGUAAAGCGCGCGUAGGUGGUUUGUUAAGUUGGAUGUGAAAUCCCCGGGCUCAACCUGGGAACUGCAUCCAAAACUGGCAAGCUAGAGUAUGGUAGAGGGUGGUGGAAUUUCCUGUGUAGCGGUGAAAUGCGUAGAUAUAGGAAGGAACACCAGUGGCGAAGGCGACCACCUGGACUGAUACUGACACUGAGGUGCGAAAGCGUGGGGAGCAAACAGGAUUAGAUACCCCGGUAGUCCCUGUCUCUUAUAA
This 302-nucleotide ribosomal RNA is filed under the name uncultured bacterium. RNAcentral's name for it is "partial 16S ribosomal RNA". It matches the Rfam family "Bacterial small subunit ribosomal RNA", at positions 508 to 809 of the family's 1533-position model. The record is from RNAcentral.